AAAGCUCCCUCUCUCCCUCUCUCCUGUUUGAGUCCACACUGAAUAAUUAAACAGGAAGAGCAAGGCAGACGAGGCGCGGGAGGCACAGAACACACGCAGCAGGGCGGAACAGAACAGCUCCUUGGUGACACAACAAAGAGCAAGCAGGAAAUCAACAAUACUGCAUCACAACUGUUAUAUUCUUCUCUUUUGACUGUAUUUCUUUUCUCUCUCUCAUUUAUUUGUCCUCAUAGCUUAGUGAUUAUGCAGUUCAAUGUUGUAGUGUUGUUGAUUUGAGUUUUAACCAGUGUGAAAUGGAUCUGUAUAUCAUUUAUUUAUUUUCUGAGUUAAAAUGAAGCGAAAGGAAAAAAGGGGAAGGAUAAGAAUGAAUAAAAGAAAGAAAGGAAGAAAGAACGGUUAAUAAAAACAACUAAUUUCUUCACUCAUAUAUUUCAAACACACGUUAAAAUAAAGAUAACAACAUCC
Long non-coding RNA from Portunus trituberculatus (swimming crab), 465 nucleotides. RefSeq lists it as uncharacterized. Lineage: Eukaryota; Metazoa; Arthropoda; Malacostraca; Decapoda; Portunidae. The record is from RefSeq and is a predicted model, not a curated record. The transcript has 2 exons.